Molecule: long non-coding RNA, 1361 nt
Organism: Prosopis cineraria
Lineage: Eukaryota; Viridiplantae; Streptophyta; Magnoliopsida; Fabales; Fabaceae
Exons: 2
Source: RefSeq, a predicted model, not a curated record
UGUUGGGGAAAAACAAGGCCGAGGCCAUUCAAUCGCAUUCCAGGCAAGACGAUUUCCGGUGUAAGACUUGCGACUUGGUCCUUCGUCUCUCCGCGACUUCCACCUCCACUCUCUACUCUCCACCAUAGCCCUCGCCUCCACCGCCGUUCACCUUCUGAGGCUUGUUCCCUCCAUCCCCAUCCGUCACAACUCUGAUCUAUCCCCACCACUGCCUGUAACUCGAGCCCCACCUGCUUCCCUCCACUUUGCUUCCCCGUCGCCUCCUUCCUCUUUGCCAUAGCCAUGCGUCCAUUCCAUCACACCUACUGCCUCUCCCUCUUUCAAUCCCUCAACCACAAUCUUGCCGGCGAACAAAGUGAAGCUGCUGGUCUUGGUUCUUGCCCUUGCUUCCCUCCAUUGAUUUAAAGCUUCGUCGUUUCCCCCUUCUCUCGGCUUCCUCGUUGGUCAGCCACUGUCUAGUUCACAGAACCAUGGCUUCUCCUUCUCCGAGCUACCUGCUCUGCCCUCUACGCUCUUGAUCAUCUCAUGUACCUCGAUUUCGAUAUCUCCUUGUGUCAUCUUUGUUGGUCACUCUGUAGCUCUUCGAGUUAUGUUACAUUGCUAAACCAUUGUCCUGUAUUUUUGGGUAGUUCAUAAAUUUGAUAAAAGCCUCUGCAAUUCUGAUUUUGCUGCUGGAACUGAUUUCAAAUGGGGAGACUUGACGUUAUUCAAAGAGAUCAAUGUGAAUACACAUUAGAUGAUGAAGUUGAAAAGGUGAAGACUAUUAUCAUGAAACCUGAUCCUGACAAAGAAGAUGAUGCAGUGCUGAAAAAACUCUUUCCUGUUUUUAUCCCGACUUGCCUUUCAAGGAAGGGCUGAAGAAAGAAAAUGAAAAGCCUAAAGUAGAGCUACAAAGAUCACAAGCAAAUUGGGAAACAAAUCAAUGUUAGUUUAUUCAACUUUUAUUAGAUGUAACACAAGUUGCAGCUUGUUUCUCUUCCAGAAAAAUCUUCACCUGAAAAAAGUCAUAAAAUUGUAGAGAAAACUUACAAAGUAUCACAGAAGAAGCUUUCUCUUUCUUUAAGAAGAUGAGAGACUUUGGCUUUACUCGGAGAAUGUUCAAUAGGAGAUUGUGGACAUUCGAAUCUUGCCAGAUGUUGUCAAUCGAAGCGCUAGUGAUUUGAAUGCAAAGGAAGAUAUAACUAGCUUAUGAAUAGGUGUUUGGUUUGAGUCUGUAAAAUCUUAGGCGAUUAUUAGCUUUUGUUACUUUUGUUUUCCUUUUUGUGGACUUUAGUAGUCAACAUAUCAAUAUUGUCAAUAAUUACAUGUUACUCAAUAUGUUUUCAUGAAAAUAAAGGACAUAUGAUCCCUCGUUGUCAAUA